RNAcentral lists this long non-coding RNA (706 nucleotides) under Phasianus colchicus (ring-necked pheasant). RNAcentral's name for it is "lncRNA (ENSPCLG00000002012.1)". The record is from RNAcentral. Lineage: Eukaryota; Metazoa; Chordata; Aves; Galliformes; Phasianidae.
CCUCCCCACCGUGCGGCCGGCACCUGUGACGUCACAGCCAGCACCAGCUGACGGCGGGAGGAGGAAGAGGCGGCGGGGCGGGCCACGCUUUUUUAAAGAAGGAGGCGGGGCCGCCUCAAUGGGGCGUUGUAAGAAACCUGGGGCUCGGGAUAAAUCCAAAGUGGUUGCCUUCAGGCUGCUUGAUUUUUAACGUAGUCGAGAUGGGCUGUCCUUCAGCCUUCAGGAAGCAAAGACUGCUUGCCACCUGCGCUGGUUAUCAGCAGUGCCUGUGUGUGAUCACCUGGCGCUGUGCAUUGACAAAGUUCUCUGCCAUUAAGCAGGGGGUGUUUUUGUGAGAGGACGUUUCCAUGUGGAAGCGGACGCUCUGUAACUCAGGGAUAACGAGCCAAUGUGUGGUAGUUCACAAAGGUGUUUUCUCACCUCAUCCUGCAAAGAGCCUCACAUUUCCAUUUUAAUUGGGGAACUUGUAUUCAUCACUGAUGAUCCAGCUCAAUAUCUGCCAAAAUCAAAUUUUCAGCAAAUUGCAAAUCAGUCCAAGACACCUAGAGGUAUAAAAAAUACCUGGAAAGACCUAAGCAAAGCAACACAGUGUGCAGGCCCUGUGCCUCAGUGGAGAAAUUGUCCAGAUAGUCCCAGGAAUUCAAAGACAAUGUCAAAGCCCUACUCCCCAUCUGGGUGGACCAAUGUCUCUAGUAUUAGAGAUUGA